Molecule: ribosomal RNA, 372 nt
Filed under: uncultured organism
Description: bacterial SSU rRNA
Rfam family: Bacterial small subunit ribosomal RNA
Source: RNAcentral
CGGGGGGGCGAAGCGUUGUUCGGAAUUACUGGGCGUAAAGGGCGCGUAGGCGGCCUGCUAAGUCGGACGUGAAAUCCCUCGGCUCAACCGGGGAACUGCGUCCGAUACUGGUGGGCUCGAAUCCGGGAGAGGGAUGUGGAAUUCCAGGUGUAGCGGUGAAAUGCGUAGAUAUCUGGAGGAACACCGGUGGCGAAGGCGGCAUCCUGGACCGGUAUUGACGCUGAUGCGCGAAAGCCAGGGGAGCAAACGGGAUUAGAUACCCCGGUAGUCCUGGCCCUAAACGAUGAGUGCUUGGUGUGGCGGGUAUCGAUCCCUGCCGUGCCGAAGCUAACGCAUUAAGCACUCCGCCUGGGGAGUACGGUCGCAAGGCUG